Molecule: microRNA precursor, 102 nt
Filed under: Marmota monax (woodchuck)
Lineage: Eukaryota; Metazoa; Chordata; Mammalia; Rodentia; Sciuridae
Source: RNAcentral
AGUGGGAUAGCUGGGUUAAAUUGUGGUUCCAUUUCAAGUUUUCUGAGGAAUCUCCAUACUGCUUUCAAAGUGGUUGCACUAAUUUGCAGUCCCACCAGCAGU